Molecule: transfer RNA, 72 nt
Filed under: Rhopalaea idoneta
Lineage: Eukaryota; Metazoa; Chordata; Ascidiacea; Aplousobranchia; Diazonidae
Description: transfer RNA-Val
Source: RNAcentral
CUAAAUAUAUCAUAAGUUGUUAAUGUCUCUUUUUUACGUAAAGAGUAUGAUGUGAAUAUAUAUCUGUUUAGU